GGGUUGUGAGGUUAAGCGACUAAGCGUACACGGUGGAUGCCCCGCAGUCAGAGGCGAUGAAGGACGUGCUAAUCUGCGAAAAGCGUCGGUAAGGUGAUAUGAACCGUUAUAACCGGCGAUGUCCGAAUGGGGAAACCCAGUGCAAUUCGUUGCACUAUCGUUAACUGAAUACAUAGGUUAACGAGGCGAACCGGGGGAACUGAAACAUCUAAGUACCCCGAGGAAAAGAAAUCAACCGAGAUUCCCCCAGUAGCGGCGAGCGAACGGGGAGCAGCCCAGAGUCUGAAUCAGCUUGUGUGUUAGUGGAACGGUCUGGAAAGUCCGACGGUACAGGGUGAUAGUCCCGUACACCAAAAUGCACAGGUUGUGAACUCGAAGAGUAGGGCGGGACACGUGGUAUCCUGUCUGAAUAUGGGGGGACCAUCCUCCAAGGCUAAAUACUCCUGACUGACCGAUAGUGAACCAGUACCGUGAGGGAAAGGCGAAAAGAACCCCGGCGAGGGGAGUGAAAAAGAACCUGAAACCGUGUACGUACAAGCAGUGGGAGCACCUUCGGGUGUGACUGCGUACCUUUUGUAUAAUGGGUCAGCGACUUAUAUUCUGUAGCAAGGUUAACCGUAUAGGGGAGCCGCAGGGAAACCGAGUCUUAACUGGGCGUUAAGUUGCAGGGUAUAGACCCGAAACCCGGUGAUCUAGCCAUGGGCAGGUUGAAGGUUGGGUAACACUAACUGGAGGACCGAACCGACUAAUGUUGAAAAAUUAGCGGAUGACUUGUGGCUGGGGGUGAAAGGCCAAUCAAACCGGGAGAUAGCUGGUUCUCCCCGAAAGCUAUUUAGGUAGCGCCUCGUGAAUUCAUCUUCGGGGUAGAGCACUGUUUCGGCUAGGGGUCAUCCCGACUUACCAACCCGAUGCAAACUACGAAUACCGAAGAAUGUUAUCACGGGAGACACACGGCGGGUGCUAACGUCCGUCGUGAAGAGGGAAACAACCCAGACCGCCAGCUAAGGUCCCAAAGUCAUGGUUAAGUGGGAAACGAUGUGGGAAGGCACAGACAGCCAGGAUGUUGGCUUAGAAGCAGCCAUCAUUUAAAGAAAGCGUAAUAGCUCACUGGUCGAGUCGGCCUGCGCGGAAGAUGUAACGGGCUAAACCAUGCACCGAAGCUGCGGCAGCGACACUAUGUGUUGUUGGGUAGGGGAGCGUUCUGUAAGCCUGCGAAGGUGUGCUGUGAGGCAUGCUGGAGGUAUCAGAAGUGCGAAUGCUGACAUAAGUAACGAUAAAGCGGGUGAAAAGCCCGCUCGCCGGAAGACCAAGGGUUCCUGUCCAACGUUAAUCGGGGCAGGGUGAGUCGACCCCUAAGGCGAGGCCGAAAGGCGUAGUCGAUGGGAAACAGGUUAAUAUUCCUGUACUUGGUGUUACUGCGAAGGGGGACGGAGAAGGCUAUGUUAGCCGGGCGACGGUUGUCCCGGUUUAAGCAUGUAGGCUGAUUAUCGGGCAAAUCCGGAUAAUCAAGGCUGAGGUGUGAUGACGAGGCACUACGGUGCUGAAGUAACAAAUGCCCUGCUUUCCGGAAAAGCCUCUAAGCAUCAGGUAACAUCAAAUCGUACCCCAAACCGACACAGGUGGUCAGGUAGAGAAUACCAAGGCGCUUGAGAGAACUCGGGUGAAGGAACUAGGCAAAAUGGUGCCGUAACUUCGGGAGAAGGCACGCUGGUGUGUAGGUGAAGCCCCUGCGGGUGGAGCUGAGACCAGUCGAAGAUACCAGCUGGCUGCAACUGUUUAUUAAAAACACAGCACUGUGCAAACACGAAAGUGGACGUAUACGGUGUGACGCCUGCCCGGUGCCGGAAGGUUAAUUGAUGGGGUUAUCCGUAAGGAGAAGCUCUUGAUCGAAGCCCCGGUAAACGGCGGCCGUAACUAUAACGGUCCUAAGGUAGCGAAAUUCCUUGUCGGGUAAGUUCCGACCUGCACGAAUGGCGUAAUGAUGGCGGGCUGUCUCCACCCGAGACUCAGUGAAAUUGAACUCGCUGUGAAGAUGCAGUGUACCCGCGGCAAGACGGAAAGACCCCGUGAACCUUUACUAUAGCUUGACACUGAACAUUGAGCCUUGAUGUGUAGGAUAGGUGGGAGGCUUUGAAGCGUGGACGCCAGUCUGCGUGGAGCCAACCUUGAAAUACCACCCUUUAAUGUUUGAUGUUCUAACGUUGGCCCCUGACCGGGGUUGCGGACAGUGUCUGGUGGGUAGUUUGACUGGGGCGGUCUCCUCCCAAAGCGUAACGGAGGAGCACGAAGGUUAGCUAAUCCUGGUCGGACAUCAGGAGGUUAGUGCAAUGGCAUAAGCUAGCUUGACUGCGAGCGUGACGGCGCGAGCAGGUGCGAAAGCAGGUCAUAGUGAUCCGGUGGUUCUGAAUGGAAGGGCCAUCGCUCAACGGAUAAAAGGUACUCCGGGGAUAACAGGCUGAUACCGCCCAAGAGUUCAUAUCGACGGCGGUGUUUGGCACCUCGAUGUCGGCUCAUCACAUCCCGGGCUGAAGUAGGUCCCAAGGGUAUGGCUGUUCGCCAUUUAAAGUGGUACGCGAGCUGGGUUUAGAACGUCGUGAGACAGUUCGGUCCCUAUCUGCCGUGGGCGCUGGAGAAUUGAGGGGGGCUGCUCCUAGUACGAGAGGACCGGAGUGGACGCAUCACUGGUGUUCGGGUUGUCAUGCCAAUGGCACUGCCCGGUAGCUAAAUGCGGAAGAGAUAAGUGCUGAAAGCAUCUAAGCACGAAACUUGCCCCGAGAUGAGUUCUCCCUGAGACUUUAAGUCUCCUGAAGGAACGUUGAAGACGACGACGUUGAUAGGCCGGGUGUGUAAGCGCAGCGAUGCGUUGAGCUAACCGGUACUAAUGAACCGUGAGGCUUAACCUUACAACGCCGAAG
This 2915-nucleotide ribosomal RNA is filed under the name Klebsiella pneumoniae. Its description in RNAcentral is "23S ribosomal RNA". It matches the Rfam family "Bacterial large subunit ribosomal RNA". Lineage: Bacteria; Pseudomonadati; Pseudomonadota; Gammaproteobacteria; Enterobacterales; Enterobacteriaceae. The record is from RNAcentral.